RNAcentral lists this long non-coding RNA (1100 nucleotides) under Phaseolus vulgaris (common bean). Its description in RNAcentral is "long non-coding RNA (PVUL_LNC002805)". The record is from RNAcentral. Lineage: Eukaryota; Viridiplantae; Streptophyta; Magnoliopsida; Fabales; Fabaceae.
UUGUGUGCAACAUAUCAAGAACAGCUGACUUCCUUUAUGAAGGUUGUUGAAGAGCACAAUGAGAAGCUAUCUACGAAAAUUCAUCAUGUAGUUAAUAAUCUCAAAGAAUUUGAAUCCAUAGACGAGCUUUUGCACCAAACAUAGCUGCGAAUCACGAGGGUAUUUAAGCUCUUAAUAUUUAGCAUUUACCUAUUCCAUCAUAAUAUAUCUAAACUCUUUCAGAAACAAUUUUCUCUCUCACCUAAAUAUCUGAUGAAGUUCUUAUUGAGGUUUUUUCUUUGUUCUAAAACUGUGUUCAUGUAUCCUAACAACAGUUACUGAUGUCUAUAGUUAGUUUUGCAUAACAUGAAUUUUAAGCCUAACUCAAUCUUAUAAACCUGGUUUGACAAAGUUUGACUUACUUAUAAACUAUGAAAUGUCUUUAUCUCUAGGUUGACGUGAGAUAUUCAACAGAUCAUUUAAAUGCCAUUUGGGAAGUAGAUUUGUAUUUCAUAAUACUGAAUGAUGUAUUGGUUUAAUGUAUUUAUUUACUUGGGGGCACCAAUAUUUAAUGCCCUUAUCCUUACACAGACUUCAAUAUUUUCAUGUCUAUUGGCAUCUGUGCAAACUAGAGCACUUUACUUAAAAUAUACAAUUUUGGUUACAUAUUUUGAAGAUUUACAUCUUAAAAAGAAAAAAAAAACUUCUGCACAUUUAGAUUCUAAAGUGCAUAAUUCUGAUAUUUUCCUGCACCUUCUGCAUCCAAUUUUAUGUAAUCAAUUUAUGUUAACAUAAACAUAAUCAUUGCAGCUAUAUGUUUGAACCAUUCACUGAUUGGAUUGCUUUAAGGUUAUGAUGUCAAGCAUUUGUAAAAAUGUAAUGGUUAUUGCUCUACCUUCUGGUGUAUAUAUUUUUACUGUUAUGACAUGAGAUUCAUGCAGAUUCUAAUCUUCCUUAGGAUUCAUGUGUUGUGCAUAAUGCAGGUUGUGGUUGACAACUAAAAUGUUUUGUCAUGUUCAAAGAAUGAUCCUUGUAUCCUUCAUGAACUGCAGACUCUGAUUCAGUGAAUACUUUGGUAGGGCUACCCUAUUUUUCUUGGGAACUUGUAAGGGCAGUCUUGC